Long non-coding RNA from Limanda limanda (common dab), 2173 nucleotides. RefSeq lists it as uncharacterized. The transcript has 4 exons. NCBI's taxonomy places the organism in Eukaryota, Metazoa, Chordata, Actinopteri, Pleuronectiformes, Pleuronectidae. The record is from RefSeq and is a predicted model, not a curated record.
AGGAUACUUCAAAAAGAAAGGUUUUAAUUCCGGUGCCACAGAAGGAAAUCGUCUUAUUCCGGCGGGUUCUCUUUCCAGCGCAGAUCCGAGUAGUGGUUCCUCUCGCUCCUUCGUCUUUCCCCCUGGCUCUGCUCGUCCAGCCGGGACACGUUAAACCAUCAGGAACGCGGUGUGUGUGUGGAAGUGGAGUCCAUGGCUGCGCUGCACACAGUGGCCACCGUGCGCAGGAGACCUGGAGACAUGGAGAGGAGUUUACGCACCAGUCCGUGGAUGAAAUGGGAAGUGACAGAGCCGAGUGGACAGAAGAGCCGCCCUGAGAAAGUCCCCACAGUGAGUGCAGGAGUUCAACUAAGACGAUAGGAUUGAGAACGCAGAACAUCCUGCGUUACGUUCCCCAGUGAAGAGAACAGGAAGAUGGACUGAGGUAAAGUCCAGCUGUUGUGACUGUGUCCCAUCAGUCUGUCCUUUCUUCAUAUCUCAGCUCCAUCAGUUCUUCCAGUUGGAGUAAGUGAGCAGACAUGGAGGCUUCGCACCAUCGCAUCAGUUCCAGUUCUUGGGAAGGUUCUCCAGGAUCCUGCGUCGGUGUGAAGGGUUCGUCACUCCUGCGGCUCUCUUCACGAUGGCCUCCACGCCCUCCAGCUCUAUCCAGGCCCUCUCCGUGCCAGGGUUGGGAUCUGUGCAACACAAAGUCGUCAACAACACAGUUCACUCCAUGAAGGCGACAGGUCACGUUCCACCUGUUGGUGUCUGAAACGACCACAACAGUGACAGCACCUGUUUUGAAGCUGAACCGUGACGUCACUCCCACUUGGAACGUGGCGAAAACAGGUAGCAGUCUCUGGAGCCCCGCUCAUACCGAUAGGUCGGUGGAAACGCAAUCUUUUCCUCCUCUUCACCAUGAUGAACACAGAACAGAAGAGCAAAGAGAGGUGAGCAAAGGUGAAACCGGAUGAAAAUUGAAUGCAGGAUACUGAUUCUUUGUAAUUGUGAAAUAGCGUUUUUUCCAAUACAUGUAGUAUUUGUAGCUCUCAAUAUAAUAUAAAGGUCAGUGCUCAACUUGAAACUCACUGAAAUUGAGGAAGGCCUUCCUCUUGUGUCUCUCUCGGGUGAGCUGGUCCGCACACAUCAGCUCCUCGAACUCUCUCUUAGACACAUGUUUCAGGAUGUCCUGCAGUCAGUGCCGACAAGAGAGAUACUUUAAUCAACAAAGUCUGGGGUGUUUGACUUCAGGAUUUCUGAUUAUUUAUAUUUAACAAAAGAGCAAUGAAUGACAAAGAUCAGAUAGUUGUUGGUCUGACCUGUACGUCUAAGUCGAGUCUGUAGUUGAGGUCUCCGCACCAGAAGAGAUGAGAGAAGCGCAGGCUGAUGUCAAAAGCACCAAGCUGCUUGUCUCCUAGAGAAAGGAGCCGGAGGACGUCCACGAAGUUCUGGUUCCUCCUGAACGUUGUGAGACAGACAUGUAUUUUCAUGCAGCAGAGAUAUGACACAGGAGCACACACACACAGACACACACACGACGUACAGUAUCCAUACAGAUAAACAGAUAAUGUACCUCAGGACCUUCUCACUUCCAGAAGUCAGGUGACAGUUAACAAAGCCAAAAGAUGUUCCAUUGAAGAGGAACGAGACCCCAACAGCUCCCUUGUUUCCUGAAAUUAAGGAAAUGCACAUCCUGAAACCUCCAUGAUAGUAAAAACAUUUUAUUUUGUUCUUGUUGAUCAAACAUUGGUAUUUCCUUUUUCUUGCUGUCAGCCAUGUAACUGGUAUUUGCUGUGUUUGGUGUUGUGUGUAUCUGCGGGGGCUGGUCUACCUAAUGCGUUCCCCAGGCCGGUCUUCACACUGGCUGUGUUCACAUGGAUGAUGCGACUUUCAUGCUCCGGCUUCACAAACACAGCCAGCCGCAUAUUCCAGAGGGACUGUACUGCCACCUGCAGGACAUUGUCUCGUAUUACAAUGGACAAGGACAGUUUCCAACGAAUGUGUAAACAAUUACACAUUGCUCACCUGGAUUCACUCAUUUUAUGGAAUCAGGCGCUCAGAUUGAUCUUAACGUGUUUUUUUUAAAACCAGGUGGACAUUUUAUUUUUUCACAAGUGCCUUUAACUUAACUAUUUUAUAAUGUCAUUCCAUUAUUGUAGGUAGAGUAUUCUAUUUUCAUUUUAUUAUUUUAAAC